RNAcentral lists this long non-coding RNA (430 nucleotides) under Prunus dulcis (almond). RNAcentral describes it as "sRNA ncRNA". The stretch from base 1 to 111 matches the Rfam family "U5 spliceosomal RNA". The record is from RNAcentral. Lineage: Eukaryota; Viridiplantae; Streptophyta; Magnoliopsida; Rosales; Rosaceae.
GCGUCGAGCACAAAGCGAACUAUUCUUUCGCCUUUUACUAAAGAAUACCGUGUGCGCGUCGCUUCAAAUGGCAUACGCCUAUUUUUGGAGGGGCGCACCUCUGUGGGUGCCCCUAUAGUUGUAGUUUAAAUUAUUUGAGUUUUAACUUAUUGGCCGUCUGGUCAUUUGUUAAUAAAUUAAAUGAAGUGUUGUAGUUUAUUAAUUUGUUAAUAAAUUAUUUUGGAUUUUCGUCCUAUGAGAAUAUUUGAUUGAUUGAUUCCGUUUUCUUCUGCAUCUCUUUCUCCAUGCAAAAUGGAUCGAAAUAAGAGGACUACAUCUGGGAGGUGUUGCCCCAAGGCCCUUCAAUGCCUAAGUUAGUUCAAGAAUUUGUAAAAAACUAAUAGCUAACUAAAAGGGGACGGAGUUGUAUGUAUGGUAUGAACCGGCUAGC